AUACGUAGGUGGCAAGCAUUGUCCGGAUUUACUGGGCGUAAAGCGCGUGCAGGCGGGUGGACAAGUCUGAUGUGAAAGCCCCGGGCUCAACCUGGGAAGUGCAUUGGAAACUGUUCAUCUUGAGUGCUGGAGAGGAAGGGGGAAUUCCCGGUGUAGAGGUGAAAUGCGUAGAUAUAUGGAGGAACACCAGUGGCGAAGGCGACUCUCUGGUCUGUAACUGACGCUGAGGCUCGAAAGCGUGGGGAGC
This 247-nucleotide ribosomal RNA is filed under the name uncultured bacterium. Its description in RNAcentral is "partial 16S ribosomal RNA". It matches the Rfam family "Bacterial small subunit ribosomal RNA", at positions 523 to 769 of the family's 1533-position model. The record is from RNAcentral.